This 144-nucleotide non-coding RNA is filed under the name Turicibacter sanguinis. RNAcentral describes it as "MoCo sequence". It matches the Rfam family "Molybdenum/Tungsten riboswitch aptamer (Moco RNA motif)". Lineage: Bacteria; Bacillati; Bacillota; Erysipelotrichia; Erysipelotrichales; Turicibacteraceae. RNAcentral also lists the same sequence under 1 other name. The record is from RNAcentral.
AAUUGAAUAAUUUUCUUGAGUAUAAAAGGUCCUAAGGAAGUAAAAUCUAAGGCAUUUAUACCUGAAUCUAACAAAAGAUUCACAGGGUGAUACUUGAAAAAGUAUGAUCUCCACGUUUUGGGAAGGAAAAUCAGUAGAGUUUAU